AGAUUUUGUUGAAGAUGUGGUAGCAGGACCAUUCGACGAGGAGAUUGUCGAAUCAGUACCAGUAGUACCAAUACUCGAUGGCAUCAUUGUCGAUGUAGAAGUCGUAUCAGUCGUGGACGAGCUAGUAGACGAUGUAGAAACCGUUGAUGACUGAGUAGUAGCAGGUUCGUGGCUAGAGGAUGUCGUUGAAGAAGGAUUUUCGGUAGAUGAUGUUAAAGGUGUAGUCGAAUCAGGUUUGCUGAUUGUGCUAGGCGUUGUUGAUAGCUCGGAGGACAUUGUUGGCCUUGUUACAGUGGACGAUAAUCCAGAUCCAUCCGUCGAGGAUGUUGUUGAAGACGUUGUAUCUGGUUUAUGCGAGGACGAGGUGGUUUUCGUCUCUAUAUCAGUGGUACCACUACUUGAUGACAUCAUUGUCGAUGUAGAAGUCGUAUCAGUCGUGGACGAGCUAGUAGACGAUGUAGAAACCGUUGAUGAGUGAGUAGAAGCAGGUUCGUGGUUAGAGGAUGUUGUUGAAGAAGGAUUUUCCGUAGAUGUGGUAGUAGAUGAUGUUAAAGGUGUAGUCGAAUCAGGUUUGCUGAUUGUGCUAGUUGUUGUUGAAAGCUCAGAGGACAUUGUUGGCCUUGUUACAGUGAACGAUAAUCCAGAUCCAUCCGUCGAGGAUGUUGUUGAAGACGUUGUAUCAGGUUUAUGCGAGGACGAGGUUGUUUUCGUAUCUGUAUCAGUGGUACCACUACUUGAUGACAUCAUUGUCGAUGUAGCAGUCGUAUCAAUCGAGGACGAGCUAGUAGACGAUGUAGAAACCGUUGAUGAGUGAGUAGAAGCAGGUUCGUGGCUAGAGGAUGUUGUUGAAGAAGGAUUUUCCGUAGAUGUGGUAGUAGAUGAUGUUAAAGGUGUAGUCGAAUCAGGUUUGCUGAGUGGGCUAGUUGUUGUUGAAAGCUCAGAGGACGUUGUUGGCCUUGUUACAGUGGACGAUAAUCCAGAUCCAUCCGUCGAGGAUGUUGUUGAAGACGUUGUAUCAGGUUUAUGCGAGGACGAGGUGGUUUUCGUCUCUAUAUCAGUGGUACCACUACUUGAUGACAUCAUUGUCGAUGUAGAAGUCGUAUCAGUCGUGGACGAGCUAGUAGACGAUGUAGAAACCGUUGAUGAGUGAGUAGAAGCAGGUUCGUGGUUAGAGGAUGUUGUUGAAGAAGGAUUUUCCGUAGAUGUGGUAGUAGAUGAUGUUAAAGGUGUAGUCGAAUCAGGUUUGCUGAGUGGGCUAGUUGUUGUUGAAAGCUCAGAGGACGUUGUUGGCCUUGUUACAGUGGACGAUAAUCCAGAUCCAUCCGUCGAGGAUGUUGUUGAAGACGUUGUAUCUGGUUUAUGCGAGGACGAGGUUGUUUUCGUAUCUGUAUCAGUGGUACCACUACUUGAUGACAUCAUUGUCGAUGUAGCAGUCGUAUCAAUCGAGGACGAGCUAGUAGACGAUGUAGAAACCGUUGAUGAGUGAGUAGAAGCAGGUUCGUGGUUAGAGGAUGUUGUUGAAGAAGGAUUUUCCGUAGAUGUGGUAGUAGAUGAUGUUAAAGGUGUAGUCGAAUCAGGUUGGCUAAUUGUGCUAGUUGUUGUUGAAAGCUCAGAGGACAUUGUUGGCCUUGUUCCGGUGGAUCCAGGAGGUUGGGAAGAAGUUGUUGGAAACUUCGUAGUGGAAGUGGGUGUCGUAGCAGCAGUCGAAGAAUGCUGUGACAUUGUUGGCCGAGUAGUUGGGGUGUUUGAAGUGGAUGAUGUUGACGGUUUAGAUGAAACGGUUGAAGGGACCUGUGUGCAUGUAUUUCCAUUCGAAGCUGUCACUGUUGGCAUUCCGGUCGACGAAGAAGGAGGCGCACAUUUGAUCACCAAUUCCGCAUUGCCUCCUAUUAUGAAUGCUCUUUUUAUAUCAUUUAACUCGACUGUAACGAAUUGCUGUCCGAUACCGCCCUGUACAAUUUGUGCUUUAAGCUCACUUGCGUAUCGGUGUGGUGGAGAUUCAACGCUAAUGAACCGUAUCGGAUUGGGCAAAGGCUGUAAAUCACAGUUUUUAUCAGGUUUGAGACAAAUAUUUUUCCACUUGGCACUAUCAGCUUACAUGUUGUUACUCACAUUGUGAAACGAAAACGAAAAAGGAUUCCUGGUACCCUUAAGAAUACGCCGCUUGUAACAAAUUUCCAACGAAGCAUCGGGUGCACCGAAUGCAAUGAUAUUCGCAUUUACACAACCACAAUGAACGAGCAAUAGCACUAACAACGAUGCGUUCUGCAUCUUUACGCAGAUCUGACACUGUGAGCGGCACAUUAACGACUGAAAGAACAUUAUUUCGGAAGUAACAGUAACGGGGUGCCUGCUAUUAUGCUGCUCUCCGAGAACCGGUUCUCAAUCUGCGUAAUCAUGCCCGAAAAUUGUUUUGCAAGGAAUAACGGCAUUCCCGGUUGCAACGAGAGAAAGCACUGGCCUUAUUUCGGGGAUUUUGCUACAGAUACCGUUGCAUGGCCGUGCAGUUGCAUUUCUGUCACGAACCGGUUUGCUCGGCGUCUGAUGCAAUGUGUCCAAACAGUCGCCUUUCACUUUUCAGGAUCAUGGCCAGAGCGCUGGACGAUUGCUGGUCAAGGUUGCGCGUGCAACACAACAAAUCAUUACUGAUUGCGUGUUUAUGUUUUACGAGCAGGUUUUUUAAUACGCCAUUUUCUUUUACUUUCUU
Anopheles darlingi is the source of this 2707-nucleotide long non-coding RNA. RefSeq lists it as uncharacterized. Lineage: Eukaryota; Metazoa; Arthropoda; Insecta; Diptera; Culicidae. The transcript has 4 exons. The record is from RefSeq and is a predicted model, not a curated record.